This 388-nucleotide ribosomal RNA is filed under the name uncultured bacterium. RNAcentral describes it as "bacterial SSU rRNA". It matches the Rfam family "Bacterial small subunit ribosomal RNA", at positions 28 to 417 of the family's 1533-position model. The record is from RNAcentral.
GACGAACGCUGGCGGCGUGCUUAACACAUGCAAGUCGAGCGGUAAGGCCCUUUCGGGGGUACACGAGCGGCGAACGGGUGAGUAACACGUGGGUGACCUGCCCUCAGCUCUGGGAUAAGCCUGGGAAACUGGGUCUAAUACUGGAUAUGACUCCACGGUGCAUGUCGUGGGGUGGAAAGCCUUGUGCGGCUGAGGAUGGGCCCGCGGCCUAUCAGCUUGUUGGUGGGGUGANGGCCUACCAAGGCGACGACGGGUAGCCGGCCUGAGAGGGCGACCGGCCACACUGAGACUGAGACACGGCCCAGACUCCUACGGGAGGCAGCAGUGGGGAAUCUUGCGCAAUGGGCGAAAGCCUGACGCAGCGACGCCGCGUGAGGGAUGACGGCCU